This 459-nucleotide ribosomal RNA is filed under the name uncultured bacterium. Its description in RNAcentral is "partial 16S ribosomal RNA". It matches the Rfam family "Bacterial small subunit ribosomal RNA", at positions 338 to 795 of the family's 1533-position model. The record is from RNAcentral.
CCUACGGGAGGCAGCAGUGAGGAAUAUUGGUCAAUGGCCGGAAGGCUGAACCAGCCAAGCCGCGUGAAGGACGAAGGUGCCAAGCAUUGUAAACUUCUUUUGUCAAGGGACAAAAUCAGGCUCGAGAGCCUGACCGAGGGUACUUUAAGAAAAAGCAUCGGCAAACUCCGUGCCGGCAGCCCCGGUACUACGGGGGAUGCGAGCGUUAUCCGGAUUUCUGGGGGUAAAGGGGUGCCUAGGGGGACUGUUAAGUCAGCGGUAAAAGCCCGGGGCUAAACCCCGGCGGGCAGUUGAAACUGGCUGGCUUGAGAUGUGGAGAGGUAUGCGGAAUGCGCAGUGUAGCGGUGAAAUGCUUAGAUAUUGGGCAGAACUCCGAUUGCGAAGGCAGCAUACCGGCGGCGAUCUGACGCUGAGGCACGAAAGCGUGGGUAUCGAACAGGAUUAGAUACCCUAGUAGUC